AACGCGAAGAACCUUACCUACCCUUGACAUGUGCGGAAUCCUCCAGAGAUGGAGGAGUGCCCGAAAGGGAACCGCAACACAGGUGCUGCAUGGCUGUCGUCAGCUCGUGUCGUGAGAUGUUGGGUUAAGUCCCGCAACGAGCGCAACCCUUGCCAUUAGUUGCUACAUUCAGCUGAGCACUCUAAUGGGACUGCCGGUGACAAACCGGAGGAAGGUGGGGAUGACGUCAAGUCCUCAUGGCCCUUAUGGGUAGGGCUACACACGUCAUACAAUGGCGCGUACAGAGGGUCGCCAACCCGCGAGGGGGAGCCAAUCCCAGAAAGCGCGUCGUAGUCCGGAUUGAAGUCUGCAACUCGACUUCAUGAAGUCGGAAUCGCUAGUAAUCGCGGAUCAGCAUGUCGCGGUGAAUACGUUCCCGGGCCUUGUACACACCG
Molecule: ribosomal RNA, 434 nt
Filed under: uncultured bacterium
Lineage: Bacteria
Description: bacterial SSU rRNA
Rfam family: Bacterial small subunit ribosomal RNA
Source: RNAcentral